Molecule: long non-coding RNA, 7337 nt
Organism: Equus caballus (horse)
Lineage: Eukaryota; Metazoa; Chordata; Mammalia; Perissodactyla; Equidae
Source: Ensembl
UUUAUUUCUAGGCUUGCCUCUUAAAAUUAUUUUAUACUUAUACAACCAAAGAAGGAAGACGUGCAGUCAAUUUUCAAAGUUCAAAUUCUGUGUGUCUUUCCAUCAGUUGUCUCGAUUUUCCCCUUCUCCGUUCACUGUCACCUUCUUUCCUUGGGGAAGUAUCCAAAUGGCUUUUCCAAUUCUGUGGGGGCUAAGAAGUCUCACCAGGCCCCCCCUCCCCAUUCUCCUCUAAUUUGUAACUGGCCAGAUUUGAUGCAGUGGCUAAGACUUUGGACCGUGGACGGCUGAAAGGCCCUUUGUUCGUGGAUCACAGGCGGGUGCUCGGUUCUUCUCAUUCAUUAUGCCACCCUCCUUUUUUGACUUGCAAGGUUAAGGCCUGGGGCAAAAUGUUGAUGGAAGAGAAUGCUGUGCACCAACAAACCAACAGCGUUUGUGUUCAUUCCAAUCCACUUUCUCCUCCCUUAGCUGCUGAAGGUUAUGACUACGGCCCCAUUCUCUAGUGACUCACUCCAGGAAAAGGGCAUGUGACAAGAACCUGGCUCUCAUGGGACUGCUUGCCAGUGGUGCCAAGACAGAGAUGGCAUUGUUUGGGGAAGACUCAGGAAGUCAAACAUCCGGAGACAAAGUGUGCAUGGUCAACUCACCCCACAACUCACCCCACAGGCUGGAAGGAAACAUAUUUUUCCCCACUGAUCAGUCUGUGUAUUUGCCUCUGCAAGGGCACGCAGAGGACUUCUGGGAUAGUUAUUCCUUGCAGUCUCAAAAGCAGCUUUCUUGGUGGGUCAGCAAAGGAAGGGACCAGGAUUCCUGGAGGCCAGCUAAAUGCUGUGCGUUUUCCCUCUUGUCACAUUUAGUUCUGUACUCUCCAUGAGGAUCCCAUGGAGAUAAGCAUUAUUCCCAAUCCCAUCUUAUAGAUGAGGAAAUUUAGGCCUAUGGAAGGUAAGGCGUUUGACCAGGCCUGACAGCUACUAAACAGCAGACCCAGGAUUCAAACCUGGGCCUAGGUUGACAUUGAAGUGUAUUUCCAAGGUCAGAAAAGGUCCUCCUUCCCUGGUGCCCAGGCUUCCUCUGAGAUGAUUGCCAUCUGGUAGCAGCUACUGACUGGAAGCUUCUGGAAGCUUUGUCUCUCCACGGUCUCCCAAAUACAUCUUUGUUCUGACCUCUUUCUCCCUAUCUACACCGCAAGACCCUUGCAAAUUCCGCUUUCCCCGUGAAGAUUUCCUCAGCAGGCAGUUCCAAGAUUUGGUCUCUGUUUCUGUCUCUCUCUCUCCCUCGCCCCUCUAAUCCUCUCUGCUUGUGCUCCUUGCUCAGCCCUUACAUAGAGCAUUGCUCAGCUCACAUAAACAUCACAUGCAUAUGUGAACUCCCAGCUGUAUGCUCAGCUCCCCAAGGGCAUGGAUAACAGCAUGACAAACAAUACCGAGUAGUUUCUGGUGAACAUGUACUGAAGGAUUAACUGGUUACCUUUUAGGAGAGGCCACGAGAGUGCCUGUGAUUCUUUUAAGUAGAGAAGCACGGAGAACAUGCUUCAGACAGGUGGUGGACUUCUGUCUACCUGGCCAAGGCUUGCCUCUGCCCCACAGUCUAUAACCCUCUCCCGAUCUUUCUGGGGGUUUCAGAGGAGACCAGCAUUGCCCUGCACUAAGUCCUCCUCAGCACCACCCUCCACGCAGCUCGCUGUCCUCCCCUCCAAGGCGGCCUCCUGCCUUUCCUUCCAGCCAUGCCUGGGGAGUGGAGAGAGCUCUCUGGCCACAUCCAAGGUCGCCCUUCUCCACGGGCAGUGCACUCUCUCCACACAGAAAUGCCAACCUGCACCCAUGGGUCUGCGUAUGAGCCUGCCUGUCUCCCCGACACAGCUGUGAGGGCCCCAAAGGUGUCACGACUUCUUGCCUUCAUUCCUGACGCCUGCUCUGUGAUUGCCUCAGAGCAGGUGGCCAACCAACGUUAAUCAAAGGUAGAAAUGAAUGGCGAAGGAGUCACCAAAUGGUCUUGAUUCUGCUCUAUGAAAAUAGCACAUCAAAUCAAGCUCUCAUUUACAGUUUAGUCUCUUAAAGCAGGCCUCGGCACCAGAGAGAACUUGGAACCAGAGACUACUGUAGGCAUUGCAUGUAGGGGUCGUGAAGUCCAACUGCCUCAUCUCCAAGGUGAGGGCCAAGACAGGGAAGUGACUUGCCCAGGGUCGUACCGUGUGAGUGGCGGACUCCGAUUCUCUGACAAAGGCACCGCCUCAGUUGUGCCUUCACAGUAGUAAUAUGCUUUGCUCCUACAGUACCUCGCAACUCAGCCUUACUUUUCUCCCAGUUAUUUCUUAUUACUGAGCUUUGUACUUGGACUAUGAACCCCGAGCCAGCAUUGAUGAGCCCUCCUUGAAAGAAUGCACACACGCCUGAGGGAAGCGGGGCCCCUGUCAGGUCCUGCUGAGGUCACACAGGCAGCAGCACAGCCAUGCCCAGGAAAAUCCUUCGGAAGGUGGACGGGAUCGAGAUGAUGCAUUGAAGCUCUUCCUUUCUGCCUCCCAGCCUGGCAUGGUGCAGCCCGGCCCUGCCAUCGCCCUCAUCUGCAGAUUGACAGAGGCUGUUCUGCCUGUCCCUGCCAGCAUCAUUCUUGUCCAGCCUAUUAGGCUGCUGUUGUUUUCAGCAAACAGCUGAUGCCUCAUGGAAAAUUUAGCGUUCACUCCCCUACUCCAUCCAUCUUCUACUUUGUACAUUUUCUCUUCUUUAUUAGCAGGGGCACUUACUAGAAAACUAGAUCUCUGUCACUUAGUGGUUUUAUAUGUUCCUUCUGUUCAUAACCCACCUGGAGUCAGAAUUACGUCUCUGUGACAGAACAAUUGGUUGCUAUGGAAAUGACUGUACCACCCCGGGUAGCAGCCUGUGCCAGAGAGAAACAGGAGCGCUGAUCACAUGGAGGGGGGGCGCAGGAAUCCUGAGGGUGACUUUUUGGACAAGUGACUGAUUUCUCUAGGUCAACUUGGUUCCUCUGCUCCGAUUCCUCCCAAUACUGUGUGUGUUUGGGUGUACGUGUGUGUGUGUGUGUGUGUGUACGUCUUCAUUUAUCCACACCCCACCCCUACCACUAGCCACCCCACCAAAAUUUAGAGACCUUCCCCUAUCUUCUCUCUUCUGCCUCCAAACCCAGUUUAGAGCUGGCCUCCUGCAUCUGUGUUUAACCACACCUGGCUAGUCCCUUCUCCAAUCAAAACCCUCCCAAUCCUAGGGAGUUUGCACUUCAUUCAUUUGAAUGGAAUCACUUGCUUUGUUUCUCCUCACUAUUUUUUUUCUUAUCAGGCUCAGACACUUUAUCUUCCCAGCAGAGUCCAGGCCCCCUGUGGGAAGUUUGUUGUACCCUUCCACAGAGCCCACACCAGCUCUGCUGACCACAGGUCCUUGGUAAAAGCUGCUCCCUGACUCUCAGAGAGACCACAGACUCAAUCCCCCAGUCUGUCCAGUUAAAACUGCUCAGUCUUACUUCUUCUUUUUUUUUUUCUUUAAAGAUUUUAUUUUUCCUUUUUUCCCAAAGCCCCCUGGUAUGUAGUUGUGUAAUUUUAGUUAUGGGUCCUUCUAGUUGUGUGUGGGAUGCCACCUCAGCGUGGCUUGAUGAGCGGCGCCAUGUCAGAGCCCAGGAUUCGAACUGGCGAAACUCUGGGCCGCCAAAGCAGAGUGCACGAACUUAACCACUCAGCCAGGGGGCCGGCCCCCUCAGUCUUACUUCCUGAGGAUCAAUAAGCCUGGAGCAAUGGGCAAAUGGGACAGCUUCAAAUAUCAUUACGAACAUUUGACAACCUAAUGAAAGAAAAAAAACUCUAAAGCUUCAGUUGCCUAAAAUACUCUCAGAUGAUAGGGGAAGAAAGAAAAAACGGUGCUUUGCUGUUUAGAAGUGUUUUAUUUUUACGGUAUUAACUUGUUAUGUUUCAAGUUUUUCUUCAGUCUCAUUUGCCUGUCACCUGGGACAAACCCAAGGAAACGUUUAACCCCCGGGCCUGGGACCCCCUCAACACGGCCAGAAACCGUCUUCUGCCUUUUCACGGGAAAGACUAAUCCGUCCUCCAUUCAGUCCCUUGAGAUGGGAGUAAACCAAAAGAGGUUUCAUACUUAGGUUCUGGAAUGAAUUUUAGAGUCCCACCUGUUCAGUAGGCUUUACUCCACACUCGUUUCCACCGAGAAGGUUCUCCCCCAUGAGUUUUCAAGUUGGCAUUUUCAGAGGCCUGGAUGAUGGAGACCAGACUUGCUCCCACAGAGUCAGGUUCGGGCCUAAAACAACCUCAUGAGCUGGAUCACGAGAGCUCAGAAGCCCAACACCAGAAGGGCCCUUAGAGAUGCCCACCCCAGGGCAAUGGUUUUCAAACUGUGAUCCUAGGCACCCUGGGGUUCCACGGAGGAACCUCAGAGACCACAGAGAGGAAAGAACAGAAGCCCACGGGGAGGAGCUUCAGGCCCCUCUCCACCACCACCGCUUCACCCAGGGAGCUCUCUCCACUUCUGCACCUUGUAUUAUCGCUGAAGAGGAGCAGAAUAUGUCACCCAAAAUAUACCACCUUGGUAUAUUGAGUAUUUUGAAUUAAAGGCACUAAGAAACAGUCAGUACAGGAAAGACCCUCUGAGCCUCCUUUGUCCCCCUGAAAGCAGGAGAUAAAUCUGCCACAUGAAAGCUGCCCUCCCCGUACUGGGAGGAAGGGAGCCAUCCUCCUCACCAGAGACAGGCAAUUUAGGGCCGACAAGGCUGUACCACCAAACCUGGUAACCUCUUCACACUUACCACCUCUAGCCCAAACCCCUCUGUCUUGUCAAUUCUCCACAAAUGUAUUGUUUCUUUGUCUAAAAGGUAUAAAAGCUUCCUGCUCUGGGCUCUCCUCCAGGUCUUCAUUCUCUUGUGAAGGCUCCUGUCGAUCUGUCUUUGUCUGUUUACUUUUCAGACCCAGCCAGGGCCACUAAGAGGGUGGAGGAAACUUUUUCUUCCCCUGCACGAUUGCACUAACCCCACUGGUUGCCUGCUUCUCCCCUCGCCAACCCCCAGCCCCAGUCCCUAUUUUCCAUCCGGUGUCCAGAAUGAUUAUUUCAAAACCUAAGGUCAAUGAGGUCACUCUCCAUUUCGAAAGCCCACGUUGGAUUUCCAUUGCACUCACUAUCCGAGAUCCUCACCCGGCCUACAAGUCCCCACGUGUCCUCGUGGGCUGCCCCUGACUGAUCUCCUUCCACACUCCCCCUUGCUCAUCUGCUGACCAGCCACCCUGGCCUUCUUCACGUCCCUGAAGACACCGGGCAGGCUCUCCCCCAACCCCGAGGUGCUCCUGCUCCUUCGGUCUGAAACGCUCUUCCCAGAUACACCCCUCGCUUGCUUCCACUCCUCCUGACCACCUAACAAAGAUGGGGCCCUGUUCCCUCAGCCUCCGCCCCUUCCCCUGCCCUCCUGACUGUCUCCUCUGCUAGAACAGAAGCUCCACGAGGGCAGGCACUUUGUGUCGUUCACAGCAGGCUCCCCAGCACUGAGAACAGAGCGUGGCACGUAGUAGUUGCAGAAUUAAAUAAUUGUUUCCUGAAUGAAUCGGAGUCUAAAAUCACUCUGUACAUUUUCUUCUUUACACAUGUCUAUAUUUUCCAAAUUUCUCUGCAGUAAAUAUCUAUUACUUUUAGUCACAAAAAACAAUAAGUGACAUAGUCUUUUUUCCAGGACCACUCUUGAGAGACCUAGAGUUUCUUUGAAAUGACUUAAGAAGAUGCAAGGAGGCCCUGCGUCAGGAUCUGAGGCAGGGUCUGAGUGGCACCAGGCUCCUCCUGAGCUCCUGGGAGCCAUAACAAUGCCUGGAGGAAUGACUGGCUCCUGAGGGUGGACAGGAGAAUUCAAUGGGGCCAGCAGCCCCUGGUAACCUAACGCCGCCUCUUCUUGCGGUCAGUGCGAGGAGAGUUGGGGCGAGGAGAGGAGUGAAAACAGAGCCACGACCACUGUGACGUAUACCCCGCUCUCCCCUGCCCAAUACACACAGCAACACAGAUGCUGCCAAGGCUCCAGGCUCCAGGCCUCCUGCACAGAAGGCAGUGUUGCAUGGGCCAUGCCUUUGCUGGCACAAGUUGCUGUCCUCAGUUGGGUUUUCCGUUUCUUUUCUUUGGGCACUGUUUCUCUGGGCUGAGUACCUGCUGCCUCUGCUCAUUUGUGAGGCUGAAUCCAGAGCAAAGAAGCAGCAUCUUGGCUCUGGGGCAGGUCUCUGGUCUGACAGACCCCUUAUCUGGUUUGUGUCAGAGGCCCUGCACUCCCCAGGUGGGCAGAAGUCCUGGGCUCUCCCUUGACUCAGUGUUGGUGUUCAUAAGAACUCAGCAGUUCCAGAUGAGGGCACAACCUCACGCGCUAGAGACGAUUCAGGAAACGAAACCUCCUUUUACUUGAUUGCUGGUUCAUUCUCUGAUGGAAUCUUUUCUGAUUCUCUUUCAUAAGGCCCAUCCAAAAUAGACAUCUGAAAAGAGAACAAGAGAGGCCAGCCCCGUGGCCAAGCGGUUAAAGUUCCGCUUGCUCAGCUUUCAUGGCCUGGGUUUACGGGUUCGAUCCUGAGCGCAGACCUCCUCCACUCAUCAGCCAUGCUGUGGCGGCAUCCCGCGCACAAAACAGAGGAAGACUGGCAUGGAAGUUAGCUCAGGGUGAAUCUUCCUCACAAAAAAAAAAGAGAGAGAGAGAGAUCUAGGAGGCCAUGUUCCCCUUCCCCUCCAGCCCCAAAGCCCUGUCACAAGAGUGACUCCGAGUCCUAGGCCCUGGAGCGGGACCGGCCCCAGGGGUCUCCUGGUUCCUGCCUCUUUUAUUGUGUCUUGCCAGACAGGUCCCACCACAUUCAGGAACAGAGCUGCCUGUCUCCUGGGCUAAGACAUGCCUGGGACACUCCAGAGCAGGGGUCAGCCAGGGUCUGUGAAGAGCCAGGUGGCAAAUACUGCAGUCUUUGUGAGCCACAUAUGGUCUGCUCUCUGUGACCUCUUCUUCUUGGUUUGUUUCUUACAACCCUUUAGAAAUGUCAAAACCAUUCUUAGCUCAUAGGCCUCACAAAAACAGGUGUCAGGGUGGGCAAAGGACAGUCCAAGGCCCCAGUUUAGCCCUCUGCCUGUUUCUGUGAACUGCAGUUUGACUCAGGCACAGCCAGGCUUGCUGGUUUUCAUGUUGUCUGUGGCCUCUGUCACUACCAUAGCAGAGCUGAGCGCUUGCCAUGGAGACUCGAAGGCCCACAACGCCUGAGAUGGUCACUCUCUGGCUCUUUGCAGGACACAUUUGCCAAGCCCCGCUCUGAAGUACUAAGACAAAUGACACAGGGGGUCCAGUUUUUUUUCUUUUUAGAAAGAUUUUUUUUUUUAAAGAUUGACACC